GGACAUGGAAUUCGAUUUCUCAUCAAUUGUUUCAUGAUGCAGGUCGUAACCUUAAUAAUAACCUAUAUCUUUUGCAACUCAGGCCAAUUACUAAUUGAUGAGUGUGAAAAACUUCAUCGUGACCUAUGCGAGUGCCCAUGGAUUUUAUGGAAUCGAUCGAACAAGGUGAACUACCAAAUAUUUUUAUUUCAUUCAAAAGAAGCAGUCUCCAUCAGUAGCCUGAGCGUGACUCUAAAUAAUAAUCUCUUUGUAAUUAUAAUACAAAGAGCGCUAUCCUUUAUAGCUUUCAUAGAGCAAGUAGCUGCAUCACAUUGAAUACCUUGGCAUACUGACUUCAGAAGAUAUAUCUAAUUUUUUAUUUGCACAAAC
This is a long non-coding RNA of Harmonia axyridis, 369 nucleotides long. RefSeq lists it as uncharacterized. The record is from RefSeq and is a predicted model, not a curated record. The transcript has 3 exons. NCBI's taxonomy places the organism in Eukaryota, Metazoa, Arthropoda, Insecta, Coleoptera, Coccinellidae.